UGGGAUUCAGUCUCUCCCUCUCUCUGCCCCUCCCCUGCUUGUGCUCUCUCUCUCUCAAAAUAAAUAAACAAACUUAAAAUUAAAACAGCAAAAAGGAGUGUCUUGCUUUCGGAUAAGGCUGUGGUAUGAACCAAACAUUUAACAGGGAUAAUUUUCAAAGUAUGUGGUCUUGUGCCUCUAUAAGAAAACAAAGACCAUAGUCCAGGGAGUGAGUGCACCAUUCAGUGCAACUCUAGAACCUCCCUCUCAAGCACAAUCAAUGUCUCACGGCGGGUAUUUUGGGCGGAACUAGUAUUUAUUUUGAAAGGUGAUUACCCUUACCGUAUGUAAGAGCCUGGGCUUUGUAACUGUAUUCAGAAAAUAAAUUUUAUAGGCAGAGUCGCAUCAGAAACUACUUUUUCAAAUUUUCUAAGCUGAAACCCCAAAGACUUUUCUGUUCAUACAAGGCCUUACCUUCAUCGUCAGUAAGAAAGCCAGGCAUCUAGUUAUUUUAACUUGGUUACAAAUAUAAUGUUAAAAAAAAAAAAAAAGUCUAGCAACGGGUUUUCUUGAAUGAACCAGAGCAUUAAAUACUAGUUUUAAUUAAAGAUUAUUAUUUCACUCUCCUAAACCUCGGCGAGAUUCGUCAUUAGGAAACGUACAUGCCAGAGGUCAUUUACAGGCUCAUUCUAAGAUAGGAUCAGGGAUUUAAAUUUCUCUUUCAAAUCUAUUCUUAGUUCAUCAAUUUAAGAUUUUAAGCUCUUAUAAAUUGCUUACUUCUUCUUCUUUUUUUUUAAAUCACAUUUGUCCCAAUUCCCUCCACAGGACAGCAUCGGGAAUAGGCAGAUUUUUGUUAUUUUUUAAAAAAAUAUUAACUUAGUUUUUAGAAGUACUAAUAUUUUUGUGUAAUCAAAUUUGCCAAGAAUUUUCUUUAUGAUGUCUUUAAUCGCUUCAUGCGCGGAAAAGACUCCACCACGCUGGGGCCAUAUAGCUAUCUCUAUUUUCUUUGUAUUCCAUUAAAAAAAAAAUGAACACUGAAUGUUCUCUCCUUAAAUAUUCCAUCCAGUUAGAUACUGGAAGUUUUCCUUUUAAAAACUAUUCUGGCUGACGGUUGCACCACAACAAUAAUCCAAACUUUAUUAGCGGCAACUUUCGCGAAUUCAGGCAUUGAUGCCGACAUCUGUGGUUGACCUGGGUCUUAAUUGAUCUGCCUGUGCAAUUGACAUGCUGCUGUCAAUGAGGAUGCCGGCAAAGAUUAUUGGAUAUGCAAAUAACAAGUCAAUAUCUGACACUGUGGCAAGCUCAGAUUUGACUAUAUGUUAAUUCAAUACAAACCUACUUAAGUUCCUGCUGGGUGGCUAUCCUGAAAACUAAACUUAUUAGGUGAUGCAGAACCGGCAAAGGUGAAUGAAACACAGCGCUUACUCUUAAGACAUUCACUAUCUAGCGAGGAAGCUAGAUAUAUAACAGAUAAUGAAAAAAAAAAAAAAAAACCAAACCCAAAACUUCGACGGUAUCCAAAGUUCUUU
This is a long non-coding RNA of Herpailurus yagouaroundi (jaguarundi), 1508 nucleotides long. RefSeq lists it as uncharacterized. The record is from RefSeq and is a predicted model, not a curated record. The transcript is spliced from 2 exons. Lineage: Eukaryota; Metazoa; Chordata; Mammalia; Carnivora; Felidae.